GGAAGUAAAAGUCGUAACAAGGUUUCCGUAGGUGAACCUGCGGAAGGAUCAUUAAUGAUUUUUAAAGCGAGUCGAGCGAUAAGCGAGGCUUGCGAAAUAUUUAAAACCCCACUCUUUUAACCUUAAAAAAUAAAUCAUGAUACAUGAAUUUAAAAAAAAAGAUCACUUUCAACAACGGAUCUCUUGGCUCUCGCAUCGAUGAAGAACGCAGCGAAAUGCGAUAAGUAGUGUGAAUUGCAUAAUUUUGUGAAUCAUCGAAUCUUUGAACGCAUAUUGCACUUUCUGGUAUUCCGGAAAGUAUGCCUGUUUGAGGGUCAGUUAAAUAAAAAUCGGUGUUGUUGCUGCCUUUCGUGGUGACGCGUCGGAAUUGAGUCGUCUUACCUUCGGUUAAGUGACUUAAAAUUUUGUAUGAUUUUUGAACGUAUUUAAAUUUAUUUGUACGUUUGAGAUAUCGAAUGUUUAUUAGGUUCGGUCAUUCUAAUGACUCGCGCCUAUAGUUUUUCAUUAAAUGACCUCAAAUCAGGUAAGAAUACCCGCUGAACUUAAGCAUAUCAAUAAGCGGAGGA
RNAcentral lists this ribosomal RNA (566 nucleotides) under uncultured Glomus. RNAcentral's name for it is "eukaryotic LSU rRNA". The stretch from base 164 to 317 matches the Rfam family "5.8S ribosomal RNA". The record is from RNAcentral. Lineage: Eukaryota; Fungi; Glomeromycota; Glomeromycetes; Glomerales; Glomeraceae.